RNAcentral lists this transfer RNA (73 nucleotides) under Caldilineaceae bacterium. RNAcentral's name for it is "tRNA-His". It matches the Rfam family "tRNA". From Rfam's summary of the family: Transfer RNA (tRNA) molecules are approximately 80 nucleotides in length. Their secondary structure includes four short double-helical elements and three loops (D, anti-codon, and T loops). The record is from RNAcentral. Lineage: Bacteria; Bacillati; Chloroflexota; Caldilineae; Caldilineales; Caldilineaceae.
GCGCUCAUAGCUCAAUUGGUAGAGCACUUGAUUGUGGAUCAAGAGGUUACGGGUUCAAGACCCGUUGAGCGCC